This is a long non-coding RNA of Harpia harpyja (harpy eagle), 1622 nucleotides long. RefSeq lists it as uncharacterized. The transcript is spliced from 14 exons. The record is from RefSeq and is a predicted model, not a curated record. NCBI's taxonomy places the organism in Eukaryota, Metazoa, Chordata, Aves, Accipitriformes, Accipitridae.
GGCGCUGACGGGCAGGGAGCGCCGGGCGCGGAGCUGCUGGUGAGUGGAGGGGGUUUCCCGCCCGGUGUGGGCCCGCGCCGCUCCGGGGGACGGUGUGGAGGCGCUGCGGUAACAGUUUUGGUGACGCCUGUGGAACCCUGCUUCUAGACCAACAGAUCCGUGGGAUUAUGGGACCUCCAGCCAGCACCGAGGGAUUCUUGGGGAGAGCCACUAAUCCCUGGACCAAAGAGCUCGAAGUAAGACCCCUGGAUAUAAACCCCAAAAGGGACAAGAUACCUCGAGGAAAUAGAAGAUGCAGUGAUUCCCAUCGUUUGGGCAGGAGGAGUUCCAGGAAGGUCUAAGGGAGGAACCAGCAAGAAUUAAUCUAAACCCAGGAUUGUUACUGCUCAAGAUGUGUCAGCUACUCUCUUCCCUCUUACGGUUAUGAAACAGAUCUGCUACUGAAUAUGGAGACUUGAUGAUAUUUCACAAGGAUUUGAAUCAUGCAAUUGGAAGACUUGCAGAAGAAAUGUCACCUGGCACUGGGUGAUGAAGCUAUAAGCUGUGCAAGGCUGCCCUGGACAAAGGAUACCUGUGCCUCCAGUGUGAAAAGCAAUUUCACCUGUUGCUGAUGUUGAAGACAAGGCCUUCCUAAUUGAAGGUAACUGAAAAUCAUUUUUUAGAUGGAUGCUACAUUUUGCUGUGCUGUGUUUGAGCUUGGGAGUUUGCUUUUGGAGAUAAGAGGGUCUGCAAAUCCAUUUUGUGUCUGGAGAAUCUGAAGCAAAGAUAAUAGUACCCUAAGUGUGCCUUCAGAUCCCCUAUGCUUCACAAUAAAAGCAUUAAUUAAUUGUUUUGCGAUGUUAAAAGAAUGUGCCUGUUGAGACUAAAUGGUGUAUGUGGCAGUACUAUGUAUGAAUUUAGCAUCUGAAAUGCUUUUCCUGGUUUAGGCCAACUUAGGUGUUUACGCAAAGUUCAUGUCGCUGAACUCUGCAACUUAGAGGUUUGUUCCUUUCUGCAAUUCCAGCAGUCUCUGGAGUUGAAUUGGCAUCUCAAGGGUGUUGGGUAGAUUGCUGGGAGAUGGCUUUAGGCCCCCCUUGUAGAAGGGUGUGGGAGUGUUGCAGUCUACUGUAGAUGAUGUUGAAUCAGGUCUCUGAUCCCAGUGAGGAUAAAACUUGACGAAACACUGAUACAGUAUUUCACUGGAACUGUUCCUAUGCUAAAACUUUCUGCUGGACCCUGUCUAAUAGCAACUCUUCCUUUGCAGGCUUCCAAAUGUUUCUCAUUGCAAUGGCUGGUGUGGUGAAGCUGUGAAGUGGUGUGGUUGGUAGUGCUACCAGCAAAAAUUUGAGAAUGGGAGAACUGCUGGCUACUGGGUGACAGAUGCUUCUUACUUGAGUGAAGCUUGUGGGGAGUUUGUGUAAGAAACAAGACUUACAUCUGAGGGAAGAAGGACUGUACUGUCUGCAACCUCAUUGGGUGAGGAGGCAACUUUGAAACUGCUGUAUGAAGAACCAAGAAGGUGGAAGAUUGCAGAAUAAUGGGUUACUCUUGCAUGAACAGCAUUAAACAAGCCAAGAUUUUUUUACCACACUGGUAAUGUUUGCCUGAUACUGAUUGGAAUGAAUAAAAAUUUGUAAACUCUA